UCGAGAGGCUUCGGCAAUGGGGGAAACCCUGACCGAGCGACGCCGCGUGGGUGAUGAAGUCCUUCGGGACGUAAAACCCUGUCAUACGGGAUGAAAGAUUGAUCGGUUAAUAGCCCUUCAAUUUGACAGUACCGUAAGAGGAAGCUCCGGCUAACUCCGUGCCAGCAGCCGCGGUAAUACGGGGGGAGCGAGCGUUAUUCGGAUUUACUGGGCGUAAAGGGUUCGUAGGCGGUCAAGUAAGUCAGGGGUGAAAUCUAACGGCUUAACCGUUAAACUGCCCUUGAAACCGCUUGACUUGAGGACAUGAGAGGAAAGCGGAAUUCUUGGUGUAGCGGUGAAAUGCGUGGAUAUCAAGAGGAACACCAGUGGCGAAGGCGGCUUUCUGGCAUGUUACUGACGCUGAGGAACGAAAGUCAGGGGAGCGAACGGG
This 430-nucleotide ribosomal RNA is filed under the name uncultured bacterium. RNAcentral's name for it is "bacterial SSU rRNA". It matches the Rfam family "Bacterial small subunit ribosomal RNA", at positions 355 to 776 of the family's 1533-position model. The record is from RNAcentral.